UAGUACCUUACUACAUGGAUACCUGUGGUAAUUCUAGAGCUAAUACAUGCUAAAAACCCCGACUCACGAAGGGGUGUAUUUAUUAGAUAAAAAACCAACGCCCUUCGGGCGCUCCUUGGUGAAUCAUAAUAACUUAACGAAUCGCAUGGCCUUGCGCCGGCGAUGGUUCAUUCAAAUUUCUGCCCUAUCAACUUUCGAUGGUAGGAUAGUGGCCUACCAUGGUGGCAAMGGGUAAMGGGGAAUUAGGGUUCGAUUCCGGAGAGGGAGCCUKAGAAAMGSGCUAMMAMAUMMAAGGAAGGCAGCAGGCGCGCAAAUUACCCAAUCCCGAUACGGGAGGUAGUGACAAUAAAUACUGAUACGGGGCUCUUUUGGGUCUCGUAAUUGGAAUKAGAACAAUUUAAAUMCCUUAAMGAGGAACAAUUGGAGGGCAAGUMUGGUGCCAGCAGCMGCGGUAAUUCCAGCUCCAAUAGCGUAUAUUAAAGUUGUUGCAGUUAAAAAGCUCGUAGUUGAACCUUGGGUCU
This 521-nucleotide ribosomal RNA is filed under the name Penicillium sacculum. RNAcentral describes it as "partial 18S ribosomal RNA". It matches the Rfam family "Eukaryotic small subunit ribosomal RNA", at positions 126 to 650 of the family's 1831-position model. The record is from RNAcentral. Lineage: Eukaryota; Fungi; Ascomycota; Eurotiomycetes; Eurotiales; Aspergillaceae.